This is an RNA transcript of Cololabis saira (Pacific saury), 5771 nucleotides long. It is a transcript of the gene named PTPRF interacting protein alpha 4, with no coding region annotated. The transcript is spliced from 33 exons. Lineage: Eukaryota; Metazoa; Chordata; Actinopteri; Beloniformes; Belonidae. The record is from RefSeq and is a predicted model, not a curated record.
GUGUGGACGGAUGGAAGCAGAGAAGGCAGAUGCAGAGCAGACUCGCUCCUCCAUCCAAAGGAAUAAGGACGUCGAUCUCCUCUAGGAUAUUUCCAUCUGCUUAAAAAAACACACACCAAAAAAACCAACAACUAAUAAUUUACAUAUUUUUCGUUUAUUUAUCUACCUCUAUAUACUAUGGUCUCCAUCGCGCUUGCGGGCACCACCCCUUCAAGCGUACAAGUCUAUCUCUGAGAUGUCAGUCAUUUCACGCCGGGAUUUCUACAUGUGAGUGCAUGGCGCGCCGGGCAGGGCGGAUCUGCUCACGGGGGGAAAAAACGCCGGCUAAUAUGGAUGAAAGGUCAACCAUCAUCUCAUCGUUUCAACCACUUUGACAAGCGACCGUAUCCCAUAGCUUCGGCCACACCACAGAGCAGGAGAGAUGAUGUGCGAGGUGAUGCCGACUAUCAGCGAAGGGGACUCGGCCGGUCCUCCGAGAGGCAACGCCGGCGUCCCGAACGGCUCGGACCAGGAGGCCAACUUCGAGCAGCUGAUGGUCAACAUGCUGGACGAGAGAGACAAGCUGCUGGAGUCCCUCAGGGAGACUCAGGAGACCCUCAUCCAGUCUCAGACGAAGCUGCAGGGGGCGCUGCACGAGAGGGAUGCGCUCCAGCGGCAGAUCAACGCCGCGCUGCCUCAGAAUGGGACCCACUUCAGCACCCACAUGUAUCAGGAGUUUGCCACCCUGACAAAGGAGCUCAACAUAUGCCGGGAGCAGCUGCUGGAGAAAGAGGAGGAAAUAUCCGAGCUGAAAGCUGAAAGAAACAACACCAGGCUGCUGUUGGAGCACCUGGAGUGUCUGGUGUCUCGUCAUGAGCGCAGUCUGAGGAUGACAGUGGUGAAGAGACAGGCGCCUCCACCAUCUGGAGUUUCCAGCGAAGUGGAGGUCCUCAAAGCUCUGAAGUCAUUGUUUGAACACCACAAGGCUCUGGAUGAAAAGGUGCGUGAGAGGCUUCGGGUGUCGCUGGAGAGGGUGGCCACCCUUGAGGGGCAGUUAGCAACUACCACGCAAGAGUUGAGCAUGGUGCGGCAGAGGAAGGACGGUGACUCCGUGGAGCGAACAGAUGGAUCCAAGCCUACAUGGAAGAGACUGCCCAACGGCUCUAUAGAUGCACACGACGACGGCAGCCGGGCGUCUGAGCUUCAGGACCUGCUCGAUCGGACCAAUAAGGAGCUGACUGAGACCCGUAAACUGUCUACCACCCUCAAUGGUCGCAUCGUCGACCUGGAGGCGGAGCUGUCGAACACGCGUCGAGAACUGAGCCGCAGUGAGGAGCUGUCAAUCAAACAGCAGAGGGAGCAGAGGGAGAGAGAAGAUAUGGAGGAGAGGAUAACAACAUUAGAGAAACGUUACCUGGCUGCUCAGAGGGAGACCACGCACAUUCAUGACCUCAAUGACAAGCUGGAGAACGAACUGGCCACCAAGGACUCACUGCACCGACAGAGUGAAGAAAAGGUGCGGCAGCUGCAGGAGAUGCUGGAGAUGGCAGAGCAGAGGUUGGCUCAGACCAUGAGGAAGGCUGAGACACUGCCAGAGGUGGAAGCUGAACUGGCACAGAGAGUUGCCGCACUCUCCAAGGCCGAGGAGCGGCAUGGCAACGUGGAGGAACGCCUCAGACAGCUGGAAUCACAACUGGAGGAAAAGAAUCAAGAAUUAGGAAGGGCUCGUCAGAGGGAGAAAAUGAAUGAGGAGCACAACAAGCGUUUAUCUGACACUGUGGAUCGUUUGCUCACUGAGUCCAAUGAACGACUGCAGCUCCACUUGAAGGAACGCAUGGCUGCACUGGAGGACAAGAACUCCCUCAUUCAGGACCUUGAGAACUGCCAGAAACAGCUUGAAGAAUUCCACCACACCAGGGAACGGCUGAUUGGAGAGAUUGAUAAGCUGAGGAACGAGAUCGACCAUUUAAAGCGUCGCAGUGGGGCAUUUGGAGAUGGAGCUCACCCCCGGUCUCACUUGGGAAGCUCAAGCGACCUCCGCUUCUCUGUAGUGGAGGGGCAAGAUGGCCACUACAGCACAACUGUGAUCAGACGGGCACAGAAGGGCCGACUGUCCGCGCUACGAGAUGACCCGAACAAGGACUACCCAUCCUUGCGUGGCAGCGUCAGCCACCUACUCGGCAGCGACCUGGAGGCAGAGUCAGACAUGGAUGAUGAUGUCAGCUCGACCUUGCUGUCUCCCAGCGGCCAAUCAGAUGCUCAAACUCUCGCUCUUAUGCUGCAAGAGCAACUUGAUGCCAUCAAUGAGGAGAUAAGGAUGAUCCAGGUGGAGAGAGAGUCGACAGACCUGCGCUCUGAUGAGCUGGAGUCUCGGGUGAACAGCAGCAGCAUGGACGGCCUCAAUGUGACCCUUCGACCCCGGGCUCUGCCCACAUCUGCUACUUCCCAGUCCCUUGCAUCAUCCUGCUCCCCGCCCAACAGCGGCCACUCAACACCUAAACAUCAUGGACGCAACCCCAGCCACCACCUCGGCAUCAUGACUCUGCCAAGUGACCUGAGGAAACACAGAAGGAAAGUGGCCUCUCCGGUGGAAGUGGACAAAGCCACUAUCAAGUGUGAGACAUCGCCUCCCUCCUCCCCCCGCAGCUUACGGCUAGAAACCAAUUUUGCUCAGUUCACAGGGAGUCUGGAGGAUGGACGAAGCAAGCAGAAGAAAGGAAUCAAGUCUUCUAUUGGCCGAUUGUUUGGGAAGAAGGAGAAGGGUCGCAUGGACCAGACUGUCGGCAGGGAUGGACAGUCUCUACCAGCUUUAACAGACUUUGAGAUGGGUAUCGGCGACACUAUGACUCUGGGAAAACUUGGCACGCAAGCUGAGAGGGACCGCAGGAUGAAGAAAAAACAUGAGCUUCUGGAAGAUGCAAGGAAAAAAGGUCUUCCUUUUGCACAGUGGGACGGUCCUACUGUUGUCUCGUGGCUUGAGCUGUGGGUGGGCAUGCCAGCCUGGUAUGUGGCAGCCUGUCGGGCCAACGUGAAGAGCGGAGCCAUCAUGUCAGCACUGUCUGACACAGAAAUCCAGAGGGAGAUCGGCAUCAGCAACCCUCUGCACCGGCUCAAACUCCGUUUGGCCAUCCAGGAAAUGGUCUCCCUCACCAGCCCGUCCGCACCUCUCACAUCCAGAACGUCCUCCGGAAAUGUGUGGGUGACUCAUGAAGAGAUGGAGAACCUGGCUUCCUCCUCUAAAGCGGAGAAUGAGGAGGGCAGCUGGGCUCAGACCUUGGCAUAUGGAGACAUGAAUCAUGAGUGGAUCGGGAAUGAAUGGCUGCCCAGCCUUGGUCUGCCUCAGUAUCGCUCCUACUUCAUGGAGUGUCUCGUGGAUGCCCGGAUGCUGGACCACCUGACCAAGAAGGACCUGCGGACCCACCUGAAGAUGGUGGACAGUUUCCACAGGGCUAGUCUGCAGUAUGGCAUUAUGUGCUUGAAGAGACUCAAUUAUGACAGGAAAGACCUUGACCGCCGGAGAGAGGAUAGUCAACAUGAUAUGAAAGAUGUCUUGGUGUGGACCAAUGAGCAGGUGAUCCACUGGGUCCAGUCCAUUGGUCUAAGGGAGUACAGCGGCAACCUUUUAGAGAGCGGCGUUCAUGGAGCGCUCAUCGCUCUGGAUGAGACUUUCGACUACAGCAGCCUAGCGCUCAUCCUGCAGAUCCCUAUGCAGAACACACAGGCACGGCAGGUUCUGGAGCGGGAGUUCAACAAUCUGUUAGCGUUGGGGACAGACCGCCGACUAGAAGAGAGUGGAGAUGACAAGACAUUUCGGCGCUCUCCAUCAUGGCGCAAGAGGUUUCGGGCUCGUGAGGGAGGGGCAGGUUUAGGGAUGAUGGCAGGCUCUAUGGAAACGCUACCUGCUGGCUUCCGUAUGCCCUCUAUGUCCAUGCCACACUCGGUUAAUUUGGCGUCCAAAAAACAUCUCCAGCCUGAAGCUCCUCCCCCAGCACCCACGAGACUCGACCCCUCAACCGUGAGGACCUAUUCAUGCUAACUACACUCUACUUACUAACAGGAGUGCUAAUUCUGACAGAAAAAUAUUCUCUCAACAACUGACCAGUUUACUUUGCAUCAUUAUGCAAUGCUCAACCACAGCAGUCUGUGGUCACGACGACGUGCAUUCUCAUUACCUAUAUGGACAUGUGCUUGCGGCCUUUUGAGAGUGAUAUGCCAAAUCUGGAGCUGGAGACCUGCGUGCCUCAGGGGAAGCUCUUCACUCCUCUGUUGCCCAGUCUCCCCUCCCACCUUUGAUCUCUCACCUCUCCUUCAGACAUGUGCAAUACAGAGGCCAACUCUGACUUUUGAACUCUGAGAGUGCUCAUUGGCUGCGCUCGCUGCUGUAAAGGAGGCUAAUCCUGGUCUCACCGAGUUUACCCCAGAACUCCCAGUAGCCUUGUUCUUGUGGUGUUGUGCUUCUGCUCCCCUGGUCUCAGCUGUGGGUUCUUGUCCUGGUUCUAAUAGUCUCAACAUGGCGAAGUCAAAACAAGUCUCCCUGUGUUAAAAGUUGAAUUGUAUGAAAAAGAUGGUGACUAGAUGGUGUCCAGUCACUGAUUUGGACUUGAGUGUGAUGAGUAUUUGUAUAAAUGGCAGAUCAUCCUACACAUUACCCUUCUACCGGUUAUGCAAGGUAUUACUCAUUUAUCAACUCUGUACAUAAAAUGGAUGACUUAUGUUUUUUAUAGAAAUAUUAUAUGUAAUAUAUACAAAAUAAAUAUAUGUGUAUAUAUACAUAUAUAUAUGUAUGUUUAUAUAUAUAUAUAUAUAUAUAUAUAUAUAUAUAUAUAUAUAUAUAUAUAUAUAUAUAUAUAUAUAUAUAUAUAAAUGAAAUAUCUAUGGAAAAAGUUAUAAUAUUGCUGUAUGACACCCAAUGCCCUGUAUUCAAUAGUGACUGUUCUCUUUCUUUCUCUCUCUCUCUCUCUCUCUGUGUCGGACCUUUGCGUGUCUAUUACCGUAUGCUGAAAGUGUUUGAUUCAUUGGUGGGAGGGACUCACUAAAGGAGGAGUGCAUUUCUACAAGGACUCUUCACAGGUUCAUGGGUCCAAUUCUCUCUUUGCUUCCUCACUUGUUCUUUCCUAUUCUCCCCCUUCUCCUUUUUAGACACAAUGUAGCUGUUACUUCUCCUUUCUCCACCUUUCUCGCCUUCUGUCUGAAACUAUGUAGCCUAGAAUAGAAAGAAUCAUUCAAUAUGAAGCGUGAGUGCGUGUAUGUGUUGGACUGAGGCAACGGGCCUCUCUUCUGGUGACUUGUCGAGGGGUUUGUGCGUGAACGGUCGACGGCAGCCAUGUGACCAUAACUUUUCUCUCUGGAUGGUAUUGUGAACACUGUAGCUCCUCUCUGUUGUUUCCAAACAUCUCUCAAGUCAAACUGUAAACUGCUGCUCAACAUCAGUGAAUGAUAGCCACAUGAUACUGCUCUGAGUGACAGACUCGUCUGUUCUUGUUCUGUCAUCUCCCAUUUAGUUGCCAUGGAGACGUGCCAGUGAGCAGUCCUUACUCUUGGCCGACCAACUCCUCAUCUGUUGAGAAAGCAGCGUAUGAGCUAGUGAAUUGCUGGAUGGCUGUACAAUCUUUUUAUUAUUAUCAUUACUUUUUUAUUUUAUUUUACAGUUUUUCCAAGGUGUCAAAAGGUGUAAUGUGCUAUGUGGCAGCUAUGAGUACUGUGUCUUUAUUCCAGGUGUUAAACAAUGCUGACAAAUCAAGAUUUUAUUAUUUGGCUAUCCAAAAAAAAAGUGUACUGUAUUUAUGACACUC